This is a non-coding RNA of Potamilus streckersoni, 88 nucleotides long. The record is from the annotation of a GenBank genome assembly. NCBI's taxonomy places the organism in Eukaryota, Metazoa, Mollusca, Bivalvia, Unionida, Unionidae.
GGUAGAAAUGGGCUACUUCCUCAAAUGGUUAGAGCGUCCGCAUCGAAUGCGGGAGGUCGUGGGUUCGAUCCCCGGUCGAUUUAUACCA